This 117-nucleotide ribosomal RNA is filed under the name Microgenomates group bacterium RIFCSPHIGHO2_01_FULL_45_11. RNAcentral also lists the same sequence under 1 other name. The record is from RNAcentral.
UCCCGUUGUUGGAGCGGGGUGGCACUACCUCUUCCCAUCCCGAACAGAGUCGUAAAACGCCCCAGCGGUGACGAUAGUAUUGGCACAAGCCAAUGCGAAAAUAGCUCACAGCGGGAA